GGUGUAGUUCAGUGGUAGAACUGCUUGUCUAGCAUGCAAAAGGCCCUGGGUGUGAGUCCCAGUACC
This 66-nucleotide transfer RNA is filed under the name Ictidomys tridecemlineatus (thirteen-lined ground squirrel). Its description in RNAcentral is "Spermophilus tridecemlineatus (thirteen-lined ground squirrel) tRNA". It matches the Rfam family "tRNA". Rfam says of the family: Transfer RNA (tRNA) molecules are approximately 80 nucleotides in length. Lineage: Eukaryota; Metazoa; Chordata; Mammalia; Rodentia; Sciuridae. The record is from Rfam by way of RNAcentral.